Molecule: long non-coding RNA, 10515 nt
Organism: Oncorhynchus tshawytscha (Chinook salmon)
Lineage: Eukaryota; Metazoa; Chordata; Actinopteri; Salmoniformes; Salmonidae
Source: Ensembl
ACUCUCUCUCCCUCUUCAUCUCUCUCUCUCUCCUUCAUCUCUUUCUUUUUCUCCACCUCUUUCUCAAUUACCCCCCUCUCUCUCUCUUUUAGGCAACCAUGUUUUUAUGGCAGGAGUCAACCAAAUAAAAGCAGCCCCACCAAUCUGUGGGGGAGAAAAGCCGCUGGUUCAAUGAAGUGAUCUAUUCAACUCAGUGUUUCUCUCUCUUGCUCUCUUCAUUAAUUCCAUACUGUCCUGCCUUUUCAUCCUUUCUGUCUUUUGUUUUCUGUCUCUCUUACUUUUUAUUCCCCUCCUUCUUUCUCUGGCUGGCUGAGCUCUGACAAGGGGAUAGAAUCAAGAGUUUGGGAGAGGAGAGGGACAUUUGGGAGCGAGAUGGCGAGUGGGACGGUGGCGUUGUUCCUGUAUGGAUUCCUGCUCCUGUCUCUGUGGAAACCUUCACUGCAAGGAGGUGUAUACAUACCUGCUGGUGUAGGUGAAGCUGGGGCUGGAUUAGGAGCUGGAGCAGGAGUCAGAGCUGGAUUUGGUCCAGGUGGAGCUGGCACCAGUUUUGGGCCUGGUGGUGUAGGCACUGGAUAUGGGCCAGGUGGCGGAGCCGGAGUUGGACCAGGAGGUGUAGGUGGAGCUGGGGCUGGUCCAGGAGGUGCAGGCUUUGGCCCUGGAGCCGGUGGAGGUUACACCAAGCCAGGGAAGACGGGAGCUGGCUAUGGUGGUCAGGUUGUAGGCCAAGGCCAAGGCCAAGGAGGACUGGGGACUGGAGGUCUGGGGGAAGGAAGAGUUAGACCAGAAGGAGCUGGGGCCGGACCAGGAGGUUAUGGACAUGGCGGUGGUUUAGGAGCUGGAGGCCUUGGAGCAGGAGCUGGCAAUGGAGGUUGGGGUCCUGGAGGACAGGGGGCUGGACUAGGAGCUGGAGGUCUGGGAGGAGGAGGUCUUAGACCAGGAGCCAGACCAGGAGGUUAUGGACCAGGUGGUUAUGGGCCUGGUGCUGAUCUUAGUCUGGGCGGAGCUGUAGCUGGAGGUCUUGGUGGUGGUUACGGACUUGGCGGGGGUCUAGGUGCCGGAGGCCUUGGAGCAGGAGCUGGAGGAAAGCCAGAGAAGGCAGGAGCUGGCUACGGUGGUAGAGAUCCAGGAGGACAGGGGGCUGGACUGGGUGUUGGAGGUUUUGGACCAGGUGGCUAUGGACCAGGUGGAGCUGGUGCUGGACCAGGUGGCUAUGGGCUUGGUGUUGGUCUUGGUCCUGGGGGAGCUGGUCCUGGAGUUUUUGGUGGUGGUUAUGGACCCGAUGGAACAGGAGCUGGCUAUGUAGGUCGCAGUCCUGGGGGACAGGGGGCUGGAUUAGGAGCUGGAGGCUAUGGACCAGGUGGAGCUGGACCAGGAGGAUAUGGGCCUGGUUCUGGUGUUGGCCAGGGUGGAGCUGGUCCAGGUGGUUUUGGUGGUGGUCUUGGAGCUGGCGGACAAGGAGAUGCCCUUGGAGCUGGGUAUGGAGGUCUCGGAGCUGGGGGACUGGGAUCCAGAGGUACAGGUCAGGGGGCUGGAGGACUUGGAGCAGGCCAAGGUCUUGGAGCCGGCCAAGGAGAUGGAUACAGACCUGGAGGAGGCUACGGUGGUGCUGCUGGUGGUCUGUACCCUGGAGCUGGAGGGGCGGGGGCAGGCCAGAAACCUCCCAAAACAGGAGCAGGAAGCACACUAGGAGGAGAUGGAUAUGGACCUGGUGGUGCUGGUGGAUAUUGGCCUGGUGGCGCAGGUGGACAUGGGCCUGGUGGCGCAGGUGGACAUGGGCCUGGUGGCGUAGGUGGACAUGGGCCUGGUGGCGCAGGAACUGGGCCUGGUGGCGCAGGAACUGGGCCUGGUGGCGCAGGAACUGGGCCUGGUGGCGCAGGAACGGGACCUGGUGGCACAGGUGGAUAUGGUCCUGGUGGCGCAGGAACUGGGCCUAGUGGCACAGGUGGAGUUGGCCUUGGUGGUUUUGGGCCUGGUGGCGCAGCAGUACCAGCUGGAGCACCAGUACUUCCACAGACUGGAGUCCCUGGGGGUGGAGCUAGAGAGAAGAGCGGUUGGAAGGCCAACAAACAAGUGCCAGGUGUUGGAGUACCUGGACUUUAUCAAGGUGGAAUAGUGCCUAGUCAAGGUUUCGGAGGGCGUGGGGUUCUACCAGGUGUUGCCACUGGAUCCGGACUUGCUCCCCAGACAGGGGCAGGUGUGCUGGGCCAGGGUGGAGUUGGAGCUGGCACUGGAGCUGGAGGUGGCCGAGGCAGUUUAAAUGGAGUGUUCCGUGGAUAUCCCCUCAUAUCACCUAAAUCUGGAGGGGCUGGAGGCAAAUCAGCUAAUUCCCAGGCCAAGCUUGCUGCUAAAUAUGCUGGAGCUGGAGGUGUACUUCGUCAAGGGGGCAUGUCGGGAGCAGGAGGAGUACCUAGCGGUGUACCUGGAGCAGGUGGGGUCCCUGGUUAUGGAGUUGGAGCUGGAGGUGUACUUCGUCAAGGGGGCAUGGCCGGAGCAGGAGGUGUACCUAGCGGCGUACCUGGAGCAGAUGGGGUCCCUGGUUAUGGAGUUGGAGCUGGUGGUGUACCUGGUUACGGAGGUGGAGCAGGAGGCAUACCUGGAUUCGGAGGCGUAGCCAGAGCAGGAGGCGUACCUGGUUACGGGGGCGGAGCCGGACCAGGAGGCGUACCUGGGGCAGGGGGCGUCCCUGGCUCAGGUGGGUAUGGAUACCCAGGGGGUUACCCAGGUGGAGGGCGGUACCCAGGGGCUGGCCUAGGUGUAGGAGGUGCCUACCCCGGAGGAGCUGGAUCUAAGGCAGCCAAAUAUGGUCAGGGUGGAGCAGGCACUGGAGCUGGUGGUGGGCUCAGCCAGGGAGUGCCUGCAUCUGGGAUUGGAACCGGAAGACUGCCUGGUGGGGCUGGAGGGGAACCAGGAGGCGGUUACAGGCCUGGCGGUAGCUUCGGUCCUGGAGGUGGAGUUGGACCAGGUGGGGCCAGUUAUGGACCAGGUGGGGCCGGCUAUGGACCAGGUGGAGCUGGACCUGGUGGCUAUGGACCAGGUAGUGCUGGAAGUUAUGGAACAGGUGGAGGGGUUGGACCAGGUGGUGCCGGGGAAGGACAUGGUGGAGCUGGCUAUGGACCAGGUGGAGGAGUUGGUGGAGUGCCUGGUGGUGGACACAGACCCGGAGGUGGUUUACCUGGUAGUGGUGCUGGUUACGGACCUGGUGCUGGUGUUGGAGGAUAUGAUGCAAAUGCUAAAGCUCGUAAAUAUGGUAUGCUAAGUGGUGUCCUUGGGACCCCAGGAGGAGGACAGGCAGCCAGCCUGGGAGGAGUACCAGGAGGGGGAGCAGGGACUGGAGUAGGCCAGGGUGGAGUGCCUGGAUCUGGGCUUGGUGGUGGUGGAGGUGUCCCUGGUGGUUAUGGUCCUGGAGCUGGAUUUGGACCUGGCCGUGGAACCGGUGGUGGUUAUGGACCAGGAGUGGGUGCUGGGACUGGACUUGGCCAGGGAGCAGGGCCUGGAGCUGGGCUUGGUGCUGGUGGAGUGCCUGGUGGUGGAUACAGACCCGGAGGUGGUUUACCUGGUAGUGGUGCUGGUUACGGACCUGGUGCUGGUGUUGGAGGAUAUCCUGCUGGGGCUAAGUCUCUGAAAUACGGUCCAGGAGGAGGUGGAGGAGCUCCGGGUGGAGGCCUUGGUGGGCGAUUCGGUGCCCCGGGAGGAGGUCUGCCAGGAGGAGGCUACGGACCAGGGGCAGGAGGCGCCUUAGGAGCAGGAGAAGCAGGAGCAGGAGGAAGAGUGCCUGGGGGUGGAUACGGGACCGGAGCUGGGCCUGGUGCAGGGUAUGGAGCAGGAACAGGGCCUGGAGCUGGGUACGGUCAGGGAGCAGGAGGAGUCCCUGGAGGAGGCUAUGAAGCUAGGGCAAGAGCAGGAGGACUACCUGGGGCCGGAUAUGGACCUGGAAGAGGAUAUGGAGCCGGAUCAAAACCUGCUAAAUAUGGACAAGUUGCUGGUGGGGCCGGUGGGGCCCUUGGAGGAGGAGCUGGACAAGGAUUCGGAGGGGUACCAGGUGGCUAUGGACCAGGUGGCUUCGGAGCUGGACCAGGUGGCUUCGGAGCCGGACCAGGUGGCUAUGGAGCCGGACCAGGUGGCUUUGGAGCCGGACCAGGUGGCGUUGGAGCCGGGGGCGGAGCAGGAUUAGGAGGGGUGCCAGGUGGGCUUCCAGGAGGGUACAGCGGUUCUCCCUGGGGGAAAAGGGGCUAUGGUACUGGAUCUGGAUUUAAGGCAGACAAAUAUGGACCAGGUGGGGCAGGAGGGGCCCUUGGUGCUGGGGCAGCUGGAGGUGCAGGGGCUGGGACAGGGACUGGGACCGGGACCAGAGCUGGGACAGGUGCUGGAGGAGGUGCAGGACCUACACCUGGCCCUGGCACAAGAGCAGGAGGAGAUGGCACUGGGACAGGAGCAGGAGGAGACAGGAUAGGCGCAGGAGGAGCAGGCACAGGAGGUGAGCCUGGUGGUGCCGGUGGGGUUCUAGAAGGAUCUGGAAGUUCUGCUGGCCCAGGAGAUGGCACCGGCGUCACAGCUGGUGCUGUUGGAGGAGGGGUGGGAGACACAGGAAUCCCUAGCAUUGGAGGAAAACCAGAUCAAUCGGGGCUCGGGGGGACAGCAAUCCCAGGUGGAAUUGCAGUGCCAGAAACUGGGGCUGGAGUUGUUCAACCCAGUGCUGGGGCUGGAGUUGAUGGGGUAGGAGUUCCCUCUGGAGGUGCUGCUAACGGUGAUAUCACUGGAGGGGGGACUCUACCUGGAGCUAAACCUCUGAAGGCUCCAAGAGGAGAUACACCUGGUGAAGGAGAGGGAGAUGCAGGAGGAGGAGCAAGAGGUGUUGGUGGAGGUCCUGAUGGUGCAGGAGGAGCAGGCAGUGGAUCUGGCGGAGUAGGAAGAGAUGGUGAUGGUAGAGGAGGAGGACCAGGAGGAGCAGACAGUGGAUCUGGCGGUGUAGGAAGAGAUGGUGAUGGUAAAGGAGGAGGAGGACCGGGAGGAGCAGGGGGGAAAGACGGUGGUGCAGUUAGAGUGGGAGGAAGUCCUAACGGUACAGGGGGAGCUGGAGGUUCAGGAGUUGGAGGAGCAGGAGUAGAACCUGGAGGAGGUGCAGGACCAGGCAGUAGUGACAAACCACCCAAAGGUUAUGGAGCAGGUGGGGCUGGCAGUCUGGGUGCAGGAGGUGCUGGAGGAGCAGCUCUGGUCCCUGGGACUGGUGGUGCCGGUGAUAUAGGAGCUGGAACCCCCAAACCAGGAAAAAGCUACGGAGUUGGUGGAGUCCUGCCAGGUGGAGGUCUACGUUACCCAACUGGGGCUAGAGAAGGACUGGGCUCAGGGAAGCCGGGCAAAGGAUAUGGUGCUGGCCAAUUUGGAGCAGGAGGACGACGUCCUGGAGGAUAUGGUGCCGGACCAGGCGGAUACGGAGCCAGUCCUGGAGGAUAUGGCACUGGACCCGGUGGUUAUGGGGCCAGACCCGGUGGUUAUGGUGCUGGUCCAGGUGGUUAUGGGGCUGGAGCUGGUCCUGGUGGCUAUGGUGCUGGGCCAGGUGGAUAUGGUGCUGGACAAGGUGGCUAUGGUGCUGGGCCAAGUGGCUACGGGACAGGGGCUGGGCCUGGAGGAUAUGGAUCCAAGCCAUACAAGACUGGAGGUGCUGGAGCCGGUGGUGUUGGUGGAGGUCUGGGUGGAGCUGGCAGCCUGGGUGCCAUAGGAGCCGGACCAGGAGGAGUGGGUGGAGGUCAAGGAGGCGGUCUAGGUGGAGGUCAAGGUGGAGCUGGACCAGGUGGAUAUAUACCAGGUGGAGUUGGUAGCAGAUACCCCACAGGUGCUGGAACUGGUACAGGAACUGGCACUGGAAAACCACCUAAUAGCUAUGGGAGAGCUGUUGGAGCUGGAGAUGGGCUUGGUGGUUAUGGUGGCGGAACAGUUGGUUAUGGACCAGGAGGAACUGGGGUCGGACUAGGUGGGGCUGGGGCCGGGCAAGGUGGAUAUGGUGCCGGACAUAAAGGUUAUGGACCAGGUGGAGCAGGGCCGGGAGGAGCUGGGGUCAGACCAGGUGGAGCAGAGGCCGGACCUGGUGGCUAUGGCGCAGGGCCUGGAGGUUAUGGGCCUGGGGCUGGUCUUGGUCCUGGAGGUUAUGGGGCUGAACCUGGUGGCUAUGGACCAGGUAGAGCAGGGCCGGGAGGAGCUGGGGUCAGACCAGGUGGAGCCAGACCAGGUGGAGCAGAGGCAGGACCUGGUGGCUAUGGUGCUGGGCCUGGAGGUUAUGGGCCUGGGGCUGGUCUUGGUCCUGGCGGAGCUGGUCCUGGAGGUUAUGGGGCUGGACCUGGUGGCUAUGGACCUGGUGGCUAUGGACCAGGUGGCGCUGGAUCUCAUAAAUAUGGUAUGCUAAGUGGUUCCCUUGGAGGGGGACAAGCAGCUGGCCAGGGAAGAGUGCCAGGAGGGGGAGCAAGGACUGGGCUAGGUCAGGGAGGAGUGCCUGGAGGAGGAGCAGGUACUGGGCUAGGCCAUGGAGGAGUGCCUGGAUCUGGGCUUGGUGGCGGUAGUGGUCCGGGUGCUGGGUAUGGACCUGCCAUUGGAACCCAUGGAGGUUAUGGACCAGGAGGUGGUGCUGGGACCGGACUUGGUCAGGGAAGAGCCGGGGUCGGACCAGGUGGCUAUGGACCACUUGGAGCUGGGGCUGGACAGGGAACUGGAGCUGGAGGAUAUGACGCAAAUGCUAAAGCUCGUAAAUAUGGUAUGCUAAGUGGUACCAUUGGAGGAGGACAAGCAGCUGGCCAGGGAAGUGUGCCAGGAGGGGGAGCAGGGACUGGAGUAGGCCAGGGUGGAGUGCCUGGAUCUGGGCUUGGUGGUGGUGGAGGUGUCCCCGGUGGUUAUGGUCCUGGAGCAGGAUUUGGACCUGGUGGUGGAACUGUUGGUGGUUAUGGACCAGGAGGGGGUGCUGGGACCGGACUUGGCCAGGGAGGAGUUGGGGCCAUACCAGAUGGCUAUGGGACUGGGCCUGGUGGUUAUGGACCAGGUGGAGCCGGACAGGGUGCAGUGAAGCCAAACAAAUCAGGUUAUGGCUCCUCCUCCUCGGGUGGAGCUCUCUUUGGACCAGGUGGUGGAGCAGGUGGGGUACCUGGUGCUGGAGCUACCGGGCGAAGAGGAGGAGUACCAGGAGGCUACGGAGUAGGAGAAGCGGGACAGUCAGGGCAGAAAUCAAAGGCACAGAAGGCAGCCAAAUACACAGCCAUGCAAGGCUUCCUGGGAGCACGCAGCUACAGAGGGGUCGCCGACUGCCAGGGUAUAUACUGCGGACGGAGGAGGAAGUGAGAGAGCAGCAAAAAGAAGUGACCUCAUCAACAACAUUGUGGUGCUACUGCAUGAUUCAAUAAUGUACUGAUUUUCAACUACUAAUAUGUCCCUUUUUUCUUUUAAAGUGUGAAUCUCGGGCAAUGGCAAAACCAGAGCCUGUUUGAUCUUUUAUUCUGAAACUGUGAUCAUGUGUUUAUUGUUCCUCACCUGUACUUUAGCCCCUCCUGUGUGUACCCCAUUUACCCAUUUAGCUCCACCACGAAUCAUGUUUGUUUAAAACACUGAUACUAAGGCGUCCCACAACGGAGUGCCUCUAGACCUGUCUGUAUGCUGACUAAACUGUCUGUUUUCUGAUUAAUGUGACUAACAUCCCUCUAUAAAGCUAUGCUAUUGACACACAGGCCCAGACUUACUCAACAUUUGCACCUGCACUUUUCAAUAUACCUAGUUUUUGUUCAAGUUGUUUAGUUGCAAACUUUUACAAUAUCUGGCCCAAGGCGUCUUGAGAUAUAUACACACACUGCUGCCAUAAAUGAAAAUCAUAGGAGAUAUCUUUAGAGUGGUAAUCUUACAACCACCAUUUUUGAUUUAGAACUGUGUCCACUCUGAACCCUCAAAAGGCAGUGUGUGUCCACAGCAACACUCAUGUUCUAACUCUGAUUCUAGUUUCAGCAGUUCUCAAAAAAAAGGAGCUUAUUGCCCUUAGUAAAGGUUUUAAGAUCUUAUAUGCAGUCGUGUAUAAUGUCUUUACAGAAUAUAUAUAGUAAGGUUUAACUAAGCCACUUGCCUGAAAUAUUAUCAACAUCUUUCUGAAUGGCUGUAUAACACUGAAUUGCUGUGAGUGUUUUGAAUACUUAAUCACACCGAUAUGACUGUGUUAGUACAGCCAUAGUUGAGAUGACUGAAAAUGCAAACGUAUAUUUUCUUUGUUUAAAAUCCUCAUCUUGGCUUUACUGAGAGCAACAGUACCUACAUGACAUUUGCAGUUGAUUAAAACUAAUAUUAUAAUCAUGCAAUCCAGAGAUUGGCCUGUUUUCAGACCUAUCACCGUAAAACAUAAUUCUGUUAACUCAAAUUAUUUGAAAAACUGAUUGCCUUGACUCAUUAAAUUAAAGCAACACAUUUUUUUGUAAGUUACCAGUACUCAGUUCAUUUUGUUUUAGUGACUUAGAAGAUUAUGUUACACAGUGAACUGUAGAGAGCAUAUAACUGCAGACUGUUGACAAAAGCCCAACGUUUUUACGCGCGUUAAUUCACCCAGGAAAUAGAAUGCAUGGGAGAGAAUGAGAGACAACAGAUGGGCCUCAACGGUGUCAUUACACAUCAGUUUAGAAAGCAAGUCUAUUUCUCUCCACAUCUACAAGAAGCAAUGCUGGUAAAAUGAGCAAAUAAAUUGCCAGAAAAUAGACUGUUUGCAUCGUUAUGUCUGGAAAUGUGAAAUGUAUAGUUAAACUGAUCAACACUGAAUAGACACUUUUUAACUGCCAAUACAUAUAUGAAAACAAAUGCAUAGAAUUUCGAUCACAGGCAUAUAGCCUAGGCCAGGGGUCUCCAAAGUUUUUUCUAGCCUGAGUUACUUUAAGAAAAAUGUAACAUGUCGCUUCUCUUCUCCCAUUCAACUCUUCCUCAGGUCCUUAGUGUAUAAGAGAAAGUAGUGCACUGUUUUCUGUCAAUAUACCUGGUAAAAUAAGGAUUAAUAAACAACUCUAAGGGGAGACCUAUAAAGUCAGAUUUGUUUUCUCCAAAAUUAUGUUUUCAAUUUCCCAAAAUACGUUUUCUCUGUUUUAUAUUUUCUGGUUUAAGAUGUUGAUUUUACUCUUAAAAUUACAAUUGUUCAUAGAGAAGUUUGUUCUGAGGACAUGUCAAUGGUUAAAUCACAUCAGGAUACCCUUUUUUUUGGGGGGGACAAAUAGAUUUCCCCUUUAUUGUGCAUCUAGCGAGUAAGGAAUGUGCCGUCUAAUGUGCCAGUCUGGCGAUGGUUCUGUACUGCUGCUGCUGCUCAUUUAAUGGCAAAGUUAGUAAAUAACAAAUAGAUACAAAUGAUAUAUUUACUUAUAUCAUUUAUAUAUAAACUUCUGCCUGGUAAGCCUACUGCCACAAGACGGUUAUCGCAUCACCUGGCUACACACGGAGUGAUUGACAAACGCGCCACACCAUAUACAGUAGACAGACGCGCAAUACUACCGGAAAUGAAUUGGCAGAUAUUGUGAAGGUUUAAUUCUCUAUGCCAAUAGUGGCUAACAAGGGGUGGGAUAAUGUCAAUGUUGAGUUGUUUAGAUAGGUGGUAGCUUGCAGUGUCGGAUAAUUGGGAGAUUUGUUUAUGACAGUUUGCGAUGGAACAGAGGAAAAAUUGCAUAUGCUUUCAGAAUUGUUUGGUGAGCUACUCAUAGGUGAGCUGCGAGCUACUGGUAGCUCAUGAUCGACCUGCUGGAGACCCCAGGCCUUGGCAGACUACGGCUGGGAAACUCGAGGAACUACGAUUUCAAGAGAGAAUACUAUUAUGUAGGAAGAACGAACUAGCUAAAUUCCUUAUAGACUGCUCGGGUUUAUUAGCUACAACUCUCCUCAUGUUCAUGAAUAACAAUUUUUUAGCCUGUGCAGGCAGGUACGGUGGCUCCCAUAGGACAUCUAAGAUGAGUCAAAAGGAACACACAAAAAUAGUUCCCAGGUGCUAUAUAGCGAACAUAACAAUUACAACUGUUUAUUAUGGAUUAUCAUGACGAUUACGUUGGCAUACGCUACGCAGUAUAUGUGAAUUGACGCUGGCCUCUCGCAAGCAAAUUUCACACCGUUGACAGGCAUCUCCGGGUGUAAUUUCGGUUUAACACCGAUGCAGUUCAAGUCUUUUCACUCUGAACUUAAACUAUUUGUUUACUUUAGCUUUUUAAAUUAUGAAGGAAAAAAAUGCUAAAACAUUUUCAACAAUGUCUACUCUUCUGAUUUAAAAAAAAAUAAGUGCUUUAUUUUUUUACAUUGUCUUUGAAUGCUCUCUAAUGCUAGUGUUACCUGAGGUGUCAUGUUACAUGUUUAAUGAAACGUUGUAAUCUUGAGUUAUCUAUGGGCUAUAGUGUUUAUAUCAUUAAGCCCAGACAGACAAAGAACAUCUGUGUUUUACCUUAGAAGAGAAUGAUUCACUUUUUUUUACACAGUACACAGUUUUUAAAUAAAGAAAUUACCUGAAUGUUGUGUUGUGAGUCUAAUCUUUUCCAACAC